Molecule: non-coding RNA, 30 nt
Filed under: Mus musculus (house mouse)
Lineage: Eukaryota; Metazoa; Chordata; Mammalia; Rodentia; Muridae
Source: RNAcentral
UCAACAAAAGAAUUUCUUGAACUUAGUCCU